RNAcentral lists this long non-coding RNA (422 nucleotides) under Setaria viridis. RNAcentral's name for it is "long non-coding RNA (SVIR_LNC009455)". Lineage: Eukaryota; Viridiplantae; Streptophyta; Magnoliopsida; Poales; Poaceae. The record is from RNAcentral.
AUUUGUCAGUGCACAUUUCAAGCAGCAAUACCUUCAAGUCUUUGCGUCUCUUUGUACGCAGCUUCAUUACCAUCAUUUGCAAUCAUUUGACAUAGAAUUCUUCUAAGUCUUUCUUUUAUCUUCUCAUUUUGAUGGCAUUGAAAUUCAUCCAUGGGACCUACAAAACACCUACAAAGGUACAUCUUGCAAACUCCCUAGGCCCAAUAACUAUAUUGUCAUUAAUCACCAAAAUCAUUAUGACCAAGGGUCAUUUCCCUUACAUUGGUCAUCACAACCACCCAAAUCCUUUCCUGUAAAGAAAGCAGCUGAAUCAACUCCUCGCCCAAAUCCUAAAUUUCCCUGCCCCCCUAUGGCACCCACCCAAACAACACAAACCAGAUAGAGAUGGAAAUAAACCAUCCAAAUUUCAUAGAAUUUGCAGC